AGAGUUUGAUCCUGGCUCAGGACGAACGCUGGCGGCGUGCUUAACACAUGCAAGUCGAACGGAAAGGCCCUUCGGGGUACUCGAGUGGCGAACGGGUGAGUAACACGUGGGUGAUCUGCCCUGCACUUUGGGAUAAGCCUGGGAAACUGGGUCUAAUACCGAAUAGGACCGCGCUCUUCAUGGGGUGUGGUGGAAAGCUUUUGCGGUGUGGGAUGGGCCCGCGGCCUAUCAGCUUGUUGGUGGGGUAAUGGCCUACCAAGGCGACGACGGGUAGCCGGCCUGAGAGGGUGACCGGCCACACUGGGACUGAGAUACGGCCCAGACUCCUACGGGAGGCAGCAGUGGGGAAUAUUGCACAAUGGGCGCAAGCCUGAUGCAGCGACGCCGCGUGAGGGAUGACGGCCUUCGGGUUGUAAACCUCUUUCAAUAGGGACGAAGCGCAAGUGACGGUACCUAUAGAAGAAGGACCGGCCAACUACGUGCCAGCAGCCGCGGUAAUACGUAGGGUCCGAGCGUUGUCCGGAAUUACUGGGCGUAAAGAGCUCGUAGGUGGUUUGUCGCGUUGUUCGUGAAAACUCACAGCUUAACUGUGGGCGUGCGGGCGAUACGGGCAGACUAGAGUACUGCAGGGGAGACUGGAAUUCCUGGUGUAGCGGUGGAAUGCGCAGAUAUCAGGAGGAACACCGGUGGCGAAGGCGGGUCUCUGGGCAGUAACUGACGCUGAGGAGCGAAAGCGUGGGGAGCGAACAGGAUUAGAUACCCUGGUAGUCCAA
RNAcentral lists this ribosomal RNA (773 nucleotides) under uncultured bacterium. RNAcentral's name for it is "bacterial SSU rRNA". It matches the Rfam family "Bacterial small subunit ribosomal RNA", at positions 8 to 798 of the family's 1533-position model. The record is from RNAcentral.